Molecule: transfer RNA, 72 nt
Filed under: Camelus bactrianus (Bactrian camel)
Lineage: Eukaryota; Metazoa; Chordata; Mammalia; Artiodactyla; Camelidae
Also listed under: 2 other names
Rfam family: tRNA
About the family: Transfer RNA (tRNA) molecules are approximately 80 nucleotides in length. Their secondary structure includes four short double-helical elements and three loops (D, anti-codon, and T loops). Further hydrogen bonds mediate the characteristic L-shaped molecular structure. tRNAs have two regions of fundamental functional importance: the anti-codon, which is responsible for specific mRNA codon recognition, and the 3' end, to which the tRNAs corresponding amino acid is attached (by aminoacyl-tRNA synthetases). tRNAs cope with the degeneracy of the genetic code in two manners: having more than one tRNA (with a specific anti-codon) for a particular amino acid; and 'wobble' base-pairing, i.e. permitting non-standard base-pairing at the 3rd anti-codon position.
Source: Rfam by way of RNAcentral
GGAGGUGUAGCUCAGUGGUAGAGCACGUGCUUAGCAUGCAGGAGGUCCUGGGUUCAAUCCCCGGUACCUCCA